AUGCAAAUCCACAGGGGAGAUCACUCAGGUUCGCUUCCAGAAGGGAUCCAGGGGCAGAGCCAACACCUUGUUCAUCUUUCUCAUGCCCAUUGCACUACUGUUCCUGCUCCGAGCGGUGCUCCAUUGACUACAGUGGUGGAUGCUCCACCAAACACAGUUGUUACGGAUGCAGAGAUAAGGUGGUGCAUUUAUGUGGGAGACAAGCUGAUUGAAAGUACUGACCCUCCUCUGCAGACGACUGUCUCCAAGUCGGUACCGGUUCAGGCGGGCGAAAAAAACCAGACAGGCCCAUCAACUGAUCCUGUUUUGGAACCUCAGUUUUCAGCUGCAGGUGAAAUGGACAUUCCGAGACAAAUUCAUGGGCCACAGCUGGGCCAACAGCAGUACCAACCCACUCAAAUAUUGCAAGGACAGAAAGGUAUUUGUAUGCUUCAAUCCACGGCUGCCUCUCCGUCUUCAACCCUGCACACCUCUCGUCAGCCUGAACCAGCAAACCCCAAUUCUUCCCCAAAUCUGCUCAGUUUGCCUGCACACUCUGCUCCUCUCACUUCUCAGAACCCAGCUAUGCCUACUCUCACUGCCACUAUGGAGAACAUUUUUCCAAUACAGAGAGGCAUCACUACUCUUUACCCUAGACCUUUGUCCUCUCCAUCUUCCUCCUGGCGCAGACUCCCUUCUCCACCAAAGCUCUCUCCUAAACGACCUAUUGCAGCCAUUCUGAAUCCCCCAUUGCCGCCGUCGAAGCGACUGGAGUUGACUGGCCCUUCAGAUGCACCUCCUUCCGCUCAGGAAGGCCCGACGGUCGGCGGAAUUGUUGCGGGCGCAGUUCGAGCCCCCGUUUCGUCGUCGCUCGAUCCCCUAGCUGGACCGGGCCUGCUCGGAGCGCCUCCUUCUAGCCUCGCCCCUCUCGCUCAUGCCUCCGCCACUCGAUCUGGGUCCUCUCCCCCUCUCCGAUCUGGAGACCCAACAGGAAGCGCCCGCCUUGCCGCCGAUUCCCCCUCUCGUUCCUUGCCAGAACCUCAUAUUACUAGAAAUCCAUCGGUCGACAGGAGCUGCCGUCGAUCUACUGCUUCUAGAUGGGAUGUUCCCCCAACUGGAAAUCUGGAGGUAUGCGUGCCUCUGCCAACCACUUUCCUCGCCGUUGCUAUGGUGAUAACACUUGGCAUCGGGAGGUUGUAUCCAAUCCGAUGGUUGGUAGCAGUAUGCUGUGCGGAAGCAGCAGCAAAUUUGUGGCAAACUUGGAUGUCAAUCCCGCUGUUAACCAAAUCAGCCUUACUGAGGAACAACGUAGAGAGGCAGCAGCAAGCUAUGAUCCAUACCCAAUUAGGACGCCUUCCCACUCUCUCAGUGCAGAUGCAGAUAGCUCUUACAAGGGUUCUAUCUCUCCUCCUAGACAUGAUCGCUUCCAGUACAUGGGUUUGGAUGAUGGUCAUAGCCCAUACGGCACCACAGGUCAGGCCCCCGUGGAAAAUCAAGAUAACACUAGCUCCACUCGCCAAGGUGUUCCGAUGGAUCUUCUCAUUGGUCAGCAAGCAGAUAACAAUGGGGUUACCAACAUGGAAUUUGGCAAUCAAGGAGAGGAUGGCAUGGAUUUCUCUGUUUCUUGGGCAGCGGCGCAUGGCCCUAACGCGCCUCAUGAGACAUGAAGGCAAUAGCUUGGAACUGCCGAGGUAUGGACAGGGGCCUUGGCAGUGA
This 1695-nucleotide ribosomal RNA is filed under the name Triticum aestivum (bread wheat). Its description in RNAcentral is "partial small subunit ribosomal RNA". The record is from RNAcentral. Lineage: Eukaryota; Viridiplantae; Streptophyta; Magnoliopsida; Poales; Poaceae.